Molecule: transfer RNA, 72 nt
Filed under: Chloroflexota bacterium
Lineage: Bacteria; Bacillati; Chloroflexota
Also listed under: 1 other name
Description: tRNA-Lys
Rfam family: tRNA
About the family: Transfer RNA (tRNA) molecules are approximately 80 nucleotides in length. Their secondary structure includes four short double-helical elements and three loops (D, anti-codon, and T loops).
Source: RNAcentral
GGCUCCGUAGCUCAACGGCAGAGCAGCGGACUUUUAAUCCGUGGGUUCAGGGUUCGAGUCCCUGCGGGGCCA